Long non-coding RNA from Hordeum vulgare subsp. vulgare (domesticated barley), 1729 nucleotides. RefSeq lists it as uncharacterized. The transcript has 2 exons. Lineage: Eukaryota; Viridiplantae; Streptophyta; Magnoliopsida; Poales; Poaceae. The record is from RefSeq and is a predicted model, not a curated record.
CCGAAUAGAAGAAAAAGAUAAACUUCAUAAGAGCCACCCGAUUUGAUCCCCAAACUCACCCCUCUCUGUGUCUCGGCACCCACAGAGAACACACCCUAAACCUAAUCCGACCGCGCCGCCACCCCAGACCUGCACGCCGCCGCUCGUCCGCUGUUUCCCUCACCCCACAUCAUCUCCGACCCCGACCUCCCUCCAGCCCGUCCCCAUGACCUAGCAACAUCCAUCCAUGCCGCCGCAUCCGCAUGCUCCGGCGCACCGCCGCAGCCACACCCCGUCGUCCACCGCUGCACCCACGUCCCCUCCAACCUCCCCUCCACGACGCCUCGAUCUUGCCUCACAGACGCAACCCGCAUCUCUGAUCCCCCCUCCUAUCUGCCCUGCUCUAGAUUCGCCGAGCUUCACGCAUUUGCGGCCUCCCCUUUGUGUCUCCCUUCAUCGGCCUCCCUCCCCAAAGCGUUCCACACCACUGGCCUCCCUUCCUCCCCUUCAGCAGCUCACACGGGUUGGAGGGAGUCGUGUCGUCGCCCAUGGCAGUAGGGGCGACUAAGAAGACCUCAAACCCACUGGUUCCUCUCCCUGAUGAGCAAGUGUUCAAUUCCUCAAAUACCUAUUGUGUAGCAUUUGAUGAAUUAGAAGCAAAUUUCUUAUUUUGCUCCUGCAGGUUCGUUGGAGUUUGAUUUGUUCAUGGAGCAUAUUUGCUAGUUUCUAUAGUUGUACACAUGCCCUGGUUCGUGAGUGCAUAACAAGAACAAUUAGGAUUCGUUAGAUAUAAUUGUGAAGCAGCUAGUUUAAUAAUUCCCGUGAGAUGCAAGCAGGAUGUUAAUUUGAUCUUUAAUGGAAGAUGUUAGUAGGGGAUAUUGCAAGCAGAGUUCCUCGAAAAAAUAUUGCAAGCAAAUGCUAGUCCGGUCAUUAUCCAGCCUGCUUACAAUAGCAAUAAACAUGGGAUGUUCUAGCUUCCUACACUAGUUAGAUCAAUGGAGUAAUAACAUGUUAUCUCAUUUGCAUUUUAUUUUAUGUUAUUUCCUGAUUUUGAACACUUGUGUGCUCAUUCUUUGUUAUUUCCUGAUUUUGAACUAACAUGUGAGGAACCAACUGAUAACUCUUGUGUGCCAGUGGACAAGUCCAUGUCUUUCAUGGAAGGUGCUUGGUUGAUUUUGAUCAACUAAUUAAUUUUAAUGUGUUUUUAGUAUUAGACAAUUUUUAUACUGCAAUCUUUAAUGAUGUUAUAAAUUUAGAAUAACUAUAUUUUGGACAUCUGAACUGGAAAGACACAUUGGUUGAUUCCUUCUUUGUUGCUUGUAGAAUUUGAACUACCAUGACAGGAACUAACCUUUAAUUCUUAUGUGCUCCUUGAUAAGGCCAUGGGUUUCAUGGGAGGUGUUUGGCUGCUUUGUUCGUGGGAUAUUAGCAAAGGAAGGGCACAUUCAUAUAUGGAAAAAAAUUAUGGAGACAACGUGAUACGACAGGGACACGGUGGGGAUACGACCCGACACAAAAACAGCCCAAAACACAGCCUUGGACCAAACGAAACCCUAUUUUGCAGGGGUCGCACGCAGCUCUCGACAUAACAAGAAGGAGCUCCUAGGUCCCGGUCUCUUCUGGAUAGAAGUCAUCACCUGUUGGAGCGACGCUGUUGCCGCCUGCAUUCGCCACCACCAUCAUCGACAUCGCUUGGAAUCGAUCGGAGACUGCUACCCCAACGGCAACAACCUCUUCUUCUUCUCCCGAU